CGCCCUUAGAGUUUGAUCCUGGCUCAGAUUGAACGCUGGCGGCAUGCCUUACACAUGCAAGUCGAACGGCAGCGCGGGGCAACCUGGCGGCGAGUGGCGAACGGGUGAGUAAUAUAUCGGAACGUACCCUGGAGUGGGGGAUAACGUAGCGAAAGUUACGCUAAUACCGCAUACGAUCUAAGGAUGAAAGUGGGGGAUCGCAAGACCUCAUGCUCCUGGAGCGGCCGAUAUCUGAUUAGCUAGUUGGUGAGGUAAAGGCUCACCAAGGCCACGAUCAGUAGCUGGUCUGAGAGGACGAUCAGCCACACUGGAACUGAGACACGGUCCAGACUCCUACGGGAGGCAGCAGUGGGGAAUUUUGGACAAUGGGCGCAAGCCUGAUCCAGCAAUGCCGCGUGAGUGAAGAAGGCCUUCGGGUUGUAAAGCUCUUUUGUCAGGGAAGAAACGGUAGGAGCUAAUAUCUCCUGCUAAUGACGGUACCUGAAGAAUAAGCACCGGCUAACUACGUGCCAGCAGCCGCGGUAAUACGUAGGGUGCAAGCGUUAAUCGGAAUUACUGGGCGUAAAGCGUGCGCAGGCGGUUUUGUAAGUCUGUCGUGAAAUCCCCGGGCUCAACCUGGGAAUUGCGAUGGAGACUGCAAGGCUAGAAUCUGGCA
This 655-nucleotide ribosomal RNA is filed under the name uncultured bacterium. RNAcentral's name for it is "bacterial SSU rRNA". It matches the Rfam family "Bacterial small subunit ribosomal RNA", at positions 1 to 653 of the family's 1533-position model. The record is from RNAcentral.